CUAGUUUGGUUCAUGCACAAAGUAUCUUAGCUAUCUGGGCUUGUCAAGUUGUCUUGAUGGGUGCUGUUGAAGGUUAUCGUAUUGCGGGUGGACCUCUUGGUGAGGUUGUUGAUCCACUUUACCCUGGUGGUAGCUUUGAUCCCUUAGGACUUGCCGAUGACCCUGAGGCUUUCGCUGAGCUCAAGGUGAAGGAGAUCAAGAACGGUAGACUCGCUAUGUUCUCCAUGUUUGGGUUCUUUGUUCAAGCUAUCGUAACCGGAAAGGGUCCAUUGGAGAACCUUGCAGACCACCUUGCUGACCCAGUUAACAACAACGCCUGGGCUUACGCGACCAACUUUGUCC
RNAcentral lists this long non-coding RNA (342 nucleotides) under Capsicum annuum. RNAcentral's name for it is "long non-coding RNA (CANN_LNC022607)". The record is from RNAcentral. Lineage: Eukaryota; Viridiplantae; Streptophyta; Magnoliopsida; Solanales; Solanaceae.